RNAcentral lists this long non-coding RNA (535 nucleotides) under Panax ginseng (ginseng). RNAcentral's name for it is "long non-coding RNA (PGIN_LNC007991)". The record is from RNAcentral. Lineage: Eukaryota; Viridiplantae; Streptophyta; Magnoliopsida; Apiales; Araliaceae.
AAUAAAUAACGCUUUUUUUUUCAAUACAAGGGUAAUAUAGGUAUAAUUAAUAUUAUAUUUAAUGUUAUACAACUAUUUCUUUAUUAAUACUUGUACACAAUUCUAAAAUAACUUAUAUUAAAGAACGGAUAGAGUAGUUUUUAUGGUUGCUUUAUGUGUUCAUGGUUUUCACAAUCACAAGAGUUACAAAAAACCGUACCCUUGAGAAAUUAAGGAACUUUCAUGUACUUUUUGAAUUGGCUCGGUCCAACAAAUAUGCUUGUAAGUAUGCUUGACACUGUUACCUUUUUCUCCUUUACAAAAACCCUGCAUCCAUAGAGGCUAUCGUGACUUACAGGUUAGUGUAUCAUCUGAUGGGAUGCUUUCGCUAGCGCUGUGGAUGCUACAAUUGAGUCCCAAAAAAAAUGUUAACACUAGCUCUUUAAUUUUGAUGUAUUCUUUGGAGGUGAACCACCAAUUCUCCUUUGUAGAAAGCUUUAGUAGCUAAAUUUGGAGGUUAUCCCACGCAGAAGCCGCACAUUCGCUUGUUGAAGUA